AACGAACGCUGGCGGCAGGCUUAACACAUGCAAGUCGAGCGCCCCGCAAGGGGAGCGGCAGACGGGUGAGUAACGCGUGGGAAUCUACCCAACCCUACGGAAUAACGCAUGGAAACGUGUGCUAAUACCGUAUACGCCCUACGGGGGAAAGAUUUAUCGGGGAUGGAUGAGCCCGCGUUGGAUUAGCUAGUUGGUGGGGUAAAGGCCUACCAAGGCGACGAUCCAUAGCUGGUCUGAGAGGAUGAUCAGCCACAUUGGGACUGAGACACGGCCCAAACUCCUACGGGGUGCAGCAGUGGGGAAUAUUGGACAAUGGACGCAAGCCUGAUCCACCCAUGCCUCGGAAGUGAUGAAGGCCCUAGGGUUGUAAAGCUCUUUUGUCCGGGAAGAUAAUGACUGUACCGGAAGAAUAAGCCCCGGCUAACUUCGUGCCAGCCGCCGCCGUAA
Molecule: ribosomal RNA, 447 nt
Filed under: uncultured bacterium
Lineage: Bacteria
Description: partial 16S ribosomal RNA
Rfam family: Bacterial small subunit ribosomal RNA
Source: RNAcentral